RNAcentral lists this unclassified non-coding RNA (328 nucleotides) under soil metagenome. RNAcentral describes it as "partial contains 5.8S ribosomal RNA, internal transcribed spacer 2, and large subunit ribosomal RNA". The stretch from base 1 to 120 matches the Rfam family "5.8S ribosomal RNA", at positions 35 to 154 of the family's 154-position model. The record is from RNAcentral.
GAUGAAGAACGCAGCGAAAUGCGAUAAGUAAUGUGAAUUGCAGAAUUCAGUGAAUCAUCGAAUCUUUGAACGCACAUUGCGCCCCUUGGUAUUCCGGGGGGCAUGCCUGUUCGAGCGUCAUUACAACCCUCAAGCUCUGCUUGGUCUUGGGCGUCACCGGUCCCCGGUGUGCCUUAAAAUCAGUGGCGGCGCCAUCUGGCUCUAAGCGUAGUACAUACUCUCGCUACAGACGUCCGGUGGAUGCUGGCCAGCAACCCCCAAUUUAUCAAGGUUGACCUCGGAUCAGGUAGGGAUACCCGCUGAACUUAAGCAUAUCAUAAGCGGAGGA